This 500-nucleotide ribosomal RNA is filed under the name uncultured Glomeromycotina. RNAcentral describes it as "partial small subunit ribosomal RNA". It matches the Rfam family "Eukaryotic small subunit ribosomal RNA", at positions 591 to 1092 of the family's 1831-position model. Lineage: Eukaryota; Fungi; Glomeromycota. The record is from RNAcentral.
CCAAUAGCGUAUAUUAAAGUUGUUACAGUUAAAAAGCUCGUAGUUGAAUUUUGGGAUCAAUGGGUUGGUCAUGCCCUCGGUAUGUACUGAUUUCAUUGGUUCUCACUUUCUAAGGAACCAUGAUGUCAUUCGUUUGAUGUUGUGGGGAAUUAGGACUGUUACCUUGAAAAAAUUAGAGUGUUUAAAGCAGGCUAACGUUUGAAUACAUUAGCAUGGAAUAAUGAAAUAGGACAUCCGAUUCUAUUUUGUUGGUUUUUAGGAUCGAUGUAAUGAUUAAUAGGGAUAGUUGGAGGCAUUAGUAUUCAAUUGUCAGAGGUGAAAUUCUUGGAUUUAUUGAAGACUAACUACUGCGAAAGCAUUUGCCAAGGAUGUUUUCAUUAAUCAAGAACGAAAGUUAGAGGAUCGAAGACGAUCAGAUACCGUCGUAGUCUUAACCAUAAACUAUGCCAACUAGGGAUCGGAUGAUGCUUAUUUUUUAAUGACUCAUUCGGCACCUUACG